Molecule: long non-coding RNA, 682 nt
Organism: Myotis brandtii (Brandt's bat)
Lineage: Eukaryota; Metazoa; Chordata; Mammalia; Chiroptera; Vespertilionidae
Exons: 3
Source: RefSeq, a predicted model, not a curated record
CGACAAACCGGUGCGACUUCUUAAGAAGGGAACCCAGGCCGACCCUCCCCUCUCCCCGCCGGGAAAGGUGCAGGGAGGAGGGGCUUGGCUGGAGGAGCCCAUUGGCUCUGCGCGCAGAGGCUGAGCGCCCCGCGCGGACCUCCUCGACCAGCCGCUGAGAUCCAUCCGGGAAAGUUGUUUGUUUAGGUGUCACUCCCGGUAACUUUGAAGGGUGCGGCUGGGAAGGGAUCCCCCACCCCCGCACCUCGCCUCAUGCAGGAGCUGCUUCCUGACGUGGAGGCGAGAGGGCUCGGGGGCACCAGCGGUCAUUCAAAGGGUGUUGCCGGGGCCUGAGUCUCAGAGAUUUCCUGCUGACGACUGACCCUAACUCAAAGCUGAUGGGGAAGGAAGCCCAGAUGAUAGCGGAGGUAACGAUUCAGUGUCCUACAGAACAGGGCUGAGUAGGGUCAGAAUGGACCUAGAAUGGCAAAUGGAGAAUAACCAUCCCAUCCCCGGAGUUUUGGGAGUCCAUUACAGUGUCUGGAGCAGUCAUCCUUAACCUUAUCUGUGGAUUAGAGUCACCUGGAGAGCUUCUGAAAUUCCUGAUGCCUAAAAUGCACUGUAAACCAAUUAAAUUGGAAUCUCUGUGUGGGUACCAGGCGCAGUAUUUCUUAAAGGUCCCUGGCCCUGGCCAGUGUGGCUC